This 349-nucleotide ribosomal RNA is filed under the name uncultured eukaryote. RNAcentral describes it as "SSU rRNA". It matches the Rfam family "Eukaryotic small subunit ribosomal RNA", at positions 594 to 945 of the family's 1831-position model. The record is from RNAcentral.
AUAGCGUAUAUUUAAGUUGUUGCAGUUAAAAAGCUCGUAGUUGGAUCUUGGGUCGGGGGGAGCGGUCCGCCCCUCGUGGGUGUGCACUGGUCCACCCGACCUUUCUGCCGGGGACACGCUCCUGGCCUUCGCUGGUCGGGACGCGGAGUCGGCGAUGUUACUUUGAAAAAAUUAGAGUGCUCAAAGCAAGCCUAUGCUCUGAAUACAUUAGCAUGGAAUAACGUGAUAGGACUCUGGUCCUGUUGUGUUGGUCUUCGGGACCGGAGUAAUGAUUAAUAGGGACAGUUGGGGGCAUUCGUAUUUCAUUGUCAGAGGUGAAAUUCUUGGAUUUAUGAAAGACGAACUUCUG